This 253-nucleotide ribosomal RNA is filed under the name uncultured bacterium. Its description in RNAcentral is "partial 16S ribosomal RNA". It matches the Rfam family "Bacterial small subunit ribosomal RNA", at positions 524 to 776 of the family's 1533-position model. The record is from RNAcentral.
GACGUAGGGCGCGAGCGUUGUCCGGAUUUAUUGGGCGUAAAGAGCUCGUAGGCGGCUUGUCGCGUCGACUGUGAAAACCCGCGGCUCAACUGCAGGCUGGCGGUCGAUACGGGCAGGCUGGGGUUCGGUAGGGGAGACUGGAAUUCCUGGUGUAGCGGUGAAAUGCGCAGAUAUCAGGAGGAACACCGGUGGCGAAGGCGGGUCUCUGGGCAGUAACUGACGCUGAGGAGCGAAAGCGUGGGGAGCGAACAGG